UAGGGAAUCUUCGGCAAUGGACGAAAGUCUGACCGAGCAACGCCGCGUGAGUGAAGAAGGUUUUCGGAUCGUAAAACUCUGUUGUUAAAGAAGAACAAGGACGUUAGUAACUGAACGUCCCCUGACGGUAUCUAACCAGAAAGCCACGGCUAACUACGUGCCAGCAGCCGCGGUAAUACGUAGGUGGCAAGCGUUGUCCGGAUUUAUUGGGCGUAAAGCGAGCGCAGGCGGUUUCUUAAGUCUGAUGUGAAAGCCCCCGGCUCAACCGGGGAGGGUCAUUGGAAACUGGGAGACUUGAGUGCAGAAGAGGAGAGUGGAAUUCCAUGUGUAGCGGUGAAAUGCGUAGAUAUAUGGAGGAACACCAGUGGCGAAGGCGGCUCUCUGGUCUGUAACUGACGCUGAGGCUCGAAAGCGUGGGGAGCAAACAGG
Molecule: ribosomal RNA, 429 nt
Filed under: Chloroflexota bacterium
Lineage: Bacteria; Bacillati; Chloroflexota
Description: Chloroflexi bacterium partial 16S ribosomal RNA
Rfam family: Bacterial small subunit ribosomal RNA
Source: RNAcentral